GUGCGGGGACGCUGUCUACGCACCCCGCGCCAUCUGUCGGGAGCCGUCCGUUACGGCACGGGACGGCACAGAUGAGAGGA
This 80-nucleotide non-coding RNA is filed under the name unclassified sequences. The record is from Rfam.